GUGGGAGGGCACAGGAUAAACACGGGUAGAUUGGUGAGAGGGCACAGGAUAAACACGGGUAGGUUGGGUGGGAGGGCACAGGAUAAACACGGGUAGGUGGGUGGGAGGGCACAGGACAAACACGGGUAGGUUGGGUGGGAGGGCACAGGAUAAACACGGGUAGGUUGGGUGGGAGGGCACAGGAUAAACACGGGUAGAUUGGUGAGAGGGCACAGGAUAAACACGGGUAGGUUGGGUGGGAGGGCACAGGAUAAACACGGGUAGGUGGGUGGGAGGAGUGUGCGUCUCCUCACAGUUCACUCAAAGUGCAUCACACACACACACACACACACACACACACACACACACACACACACACACACACACACACACA
This 373-nucleotide long non-coding RNA is filed under the name Salmo salar (Atlantic salmon). RNAcentral's name for it is "lncRNA (ENSSSAG00000116178.1)". The record is from RNAcentral. Lineage: Eukaryota; Metazoa; Chordata; Actinopteri; Salmoniformes; Salmonidae.